GUGCUCGCUUCGGCAGCAUAUAUACUAAAAUUGGAACUAUAUAGAGAAGAAUAGCAUGGCCCCUGUGCUAGGAUGACACUCAAAUUCAUGAAGUGUUCUAUAUAUUU
Antechinus flavipes (yellow-footed antechinus) is the source of this 107-nucleotide small nuclear RNA. The record is from RefSeq and is a predicted model, not a curated record. NCBI's taxonomy places the organism in Eukaryota, Metazoa, Chordata, Mammalia, Dasyuromorphia, Dasyuridae.